This 253-nucleotide ribosomal RNA is filed under the name uncultured bacterium. RNAcentral's name for it is "partial 16S ribosomal RNA". It matches the Rfam family "Bacterial small subunit ribosomal RNA", at positions 524 to 776 of the family's 1533-position model. The record is from RNAcentral.
UACGUAGGGUGCAAGCGUUAAUCGGAAUUACUGGGCGUAAAGCGUGCGCAGGCGGUUGUGUAAGACAGAUGUGAAAUCCCCGGGCUCAACCUGGGAACUGCAUUUGUGACUGCAUGGCUAGAGUUUGUCAGAGGGGGGUGGAAUUCCACGUGUAGCAGUGAAAUGCGUAGAUAUGUGGAGGAACACCGAUGGCGAAGGCAGCCCCCUGGGAUGUGACUGACGCUCAUGUACGAAAGCGUGGGGAGCAAACAGG